This 232-nucleotide ribosomal RNA is filed under the name uncultured bacterium. RNAcentral's name for it is "partial 16S ribosomal RNA". It matches the Rfam family "Bacterial small subunit ribosomal RNA", at positions 537 to 769 of the family's 1533-position model. The record is from RNAcentral.
AGCGUUAUCCGGAUUUACUGGGCGUAAAGGGUGCGUAGGCGGUCUUUUAAGUCAGAAGUGAAAGGCUACGGCUUAACCGUAGUAAGCUUUUGAAACUGGAGGACUUGAGUGCAGGAGAGGAGAGUGGAAUUCCUAGUGUAGCGGUGAAAUGCGUAGAUAUUAGGAGGAACACCAGUAGCGAAGGCGGCUUUCUGGACUGUAACUGACACUGAGGCACGAAAGCAUGGGGAGC